Peromyscus californicus insignis is the source of this 544-nucleotide long non-coding RNA. RefSeq lists it as uncharacterized. The record is from RefSeq and is a predicted model, not a curated record. NCBI's taxonomy places the organism in Eukaryota, Metazoa, Chordata, Mammalia, Rodentia, Cricetidae. The transcript has 3 exons.
CAGACACACAUAGAUACACACACACACACACACACACACAUUUUGUUGUUUCACUCUUCCUUUGGAGAACCCAAUGUGUACAUUAGGCUCUAAUGUACACCCAUCUUCUUAAUACAUUGGGAUUCACCCUCCUCUAUCUCAUUUAUCUUUCCUCUUUCCUACUUGCUUCUUCCAGGCUCUGCAGAAGUCUUUGGACUAGUGACUGGCCUCGAGAAGACAAAUUCCUCUGCCACAGACUGAGACCAUUUUCCUUGAAAGAAGGGGACAUAAGAGUUAGUUGCAAGGAGUCAUUUAGCACUUCCAUGGGGAGAUCCUGGAAGACAUGGAUUUGAAUUUUGUCUUCAGUGUGUGAGUGUUUGAGCUGGGGUGCCUCCUAAUGACCUGGACAAUAAUCCUACUUUGCUUCGUGACUACUGACUGAUGCCACAUGGAUAAGAGCUCUUACGAACAAGUCCUAGUGUGUGUGUGUCAGGACAGAGAAGAAAAAAAGCUAAACUCAGGCCAGAGCUGAGGACUAGGCUCCAAGUUUACACAUGUGUGGGAC